This is a long non-coding RNA of Scylla paramamosain (green mud crab), 641 nucleotides long. RefSeq lists it as uncharacterized. The transcript has 2 exons. NCBI's taxonomy places the organism in Eukaryota, Metazoa, Arthropoda, Malacostraca, Decapoda, Portunidae. The record is from RefSeq and is a predicted model, not a curated record.
GAGAGGCUCACAGACUAGUCAGCGAGUCCCGCCAAAACGAGUCUUAAGGCCCUGGAGGUUUGUUGUUGUGGGAAUUUUGGCGGGAGGCGAGCGAGAGAGAGACAGGGUGCAGAGUAGUGGUGGAUUUGCCAUUUGAUUUGCAGGGUGGUGAUUUGUACGCUUGGUUGGCAGGAGUUUGGUCUUGGCAGUGUGCUGUGGGACGUCAGUGAGGUGGCACCGUAGCAGAUACUGUGAACUAGGAGGCUGCAGUGAGGAACUUGCUGUCCCUGGCUGCUAUGGUGUUAGUACCGCCGUGCAUGGAGGAAGAGCUGCAGUACUUCAGGGUAGUGGUAGUGGCGUACCUUCAGCGCGUUGGGUCGGUGUGCGGUUGGGCCUAUAGGGUGUGAGGGUCCUGGGGGUACUGGUUAGGGUGGGACUGUCAGUGGCAUAUAACAUUUCUUGUGUUGGUGCGUGAAGUGUUUAUUUCUCCUGUUUAUUUGAAUGUGGAUUUACCCAUUUUCUCAUGGGAUCAGGUAUUUUGGAGUGCCAGCAGUGUGGCCUCUAAGAGUGUUAAGCACUCAUAUUUUAUUUGUGUUUUCUUUAUUAUGUACUCAUUUGUGUUUUCUUUAUUAUGUAUUCAAUCAUUAAAUUUUUAAAUUGUG